AGCGAACGUUAGCGGCGGGCCUAACACAUGCAAGUCGAACGCGAAAGGUCUUCGGACUGAUUGAGUGGCGCACGGGUGAGUAACACGUAGGUAAUCUACCCUUUGGCGGGGGAUAACGUUCCGAAAGGGACGCUAAUACCGCAUAAGACCACGAUGUCCUCGGACGAUGUGGGAAAAGGUGGCCUCUUCUUGAAAGCUAC
RNAcentral lists this ribosomal RNA (200 nucleotides) under uncultured bacterium. RNAcentral describes it as "partial 16S ribosomal RNA". It matches the Rfam family "Bacterial small subunit ribosomal RNA", at positions 29 to 218 of the family's 1533-position model. The record is from RNAcentral.